UACGUAGGGGGCGAGCGUUGUCCGGAUUUAUUGGGCGUAAAGAGCGUGUAGGCGGCCAGGUAGGUCUGCUGUGAAAACUCGAGGCUCAACCUCGAGACGUCGGCGGAAACCAUCUGGCUAGAGUCCGGAAGAGGAGAGUGGAAUUCCUGGUGUAGCGGUGAAAUGCGCAGAUAUCAGGAAGAACACCCGUGGCGAAGGCGGCUCUCUGGAACGCAACUGACGCUGAGACGCGAAAGCGUGGGGAGCGAACAGG
This 253-nucleotide ribosomal RNA is filed under the name uncultured bacterium. RNAcentral describes it as "partial 16S ribosomal RNA". It matches the Rfam family "Bacterial small subunit ribosomal RNA", at positions 524 to 776 of the family's 1533-position model. The record is from RNAcentral.